This 273-nucleotide ribosomal RNA is filed under the name uncultured bacterium. Its description in RNAcentral is "partial 16S ribosomal RNA". It matches the Rfam family "Bacterial small subunit ribosomal RNA", at positions 524 to 796 of the family's 1533-position model. The record is from RNAcentral.
UACGGAGGGUGCAAGCGUUAUCCGGAUUUACUGGGUUUAAAGGGUGCGUAGGCGGGUAGGUAAGUCAGUGGUGAAAUCUUCAAGCUUAACUUGGAAAUUGCCGUUGAUACUAUUUAUCUUGAAUAUCGUUGAGGUUUGCGGAAUAUGUCAUGUAGCGGUGAAAUGCUUAGAGAUGACAUAGAACACCUAUUGCGAAGGCAGCAGGCUAAACGAACAUUGACGCUGAGGCACGAAAGCGUGGGGAUCAAACAGGAUUAGAUACCCGUGUAGUCC